GAUGAACGCUAGCUACAGGCUUAACACAUGCAAGUCGAGGGGUAACGAGAGGAAAGCUUGCUUUCCUUGUCGACGACCGACGCACGGGUGAGUAACGCGUAUCCAACCUGCCCCCAACUAAGGAAUAACCUUGCGAAAGUAAGACUAAUACCUUAUAAUUUCCUCAGAUGUCAUCUGACGAGGAAUAAAGAUUUAUCGGUUGUGGAUGGGGAUGCGUCUGAUUAGCUUGUUGGCGGGGUAACGGCCCACCAAGGCAACGAUCAGUAGGGGUUCUGAGAGGAAGGUCCCCCACAUUGGAACUGAGACACGGUCCAAACCCCUACGGGAGGCAGCAGUGAGGAAUAUUGGUCAAUGGGCGGAAGCCUGAACCAGCCAAGUAGCGUGCAGGAUGACGGCCCUAUGGGUUGUAAACUGCUUUUAUACAGGAAUAAAGUUAGCCACGUGUGGUUAUUUGUAGGUACUGUAUGAAUAAGGACCGGCUAAUCCCGUGCCAGCCGCCGCAGUAA
Molecule: ribosomal RNA, 506 nt
Filed under: uncultured bacterium
Lineage: Bacteria
Description: partial 16S ribosomal RNA
Rfam family: Bacterial small subunit ribosomal RNA
Source: RNAcentral